GACGAACGCUGGCGGCGUGCUUAACACAUGCCAGUCGAACGGAAAGGCCCUGCUUUUGUGGGGUGCUCGAGUGGCGAACGGGUGAGUAACACGUGAGUAACCUGCCCUUGACUUUGGGAUAACUUCAGGAAACUGGGGCUAAUACCGGAUAGGAGCUCCUGCUGCAUGGUGGGGGUUGGAAAGUUUCGGCGGUUGGGGAUGGACUCGCGGCUUAUCAGCUUGUUGGUGGGGUAGUGGCUUACCAAGGCUUUGACGGGUAGCCGGCCUGAGAGGGUGACCGGCCACAUUGGGACUGAGAUACGGCCCAGACUCCUACGGGCGGCAGCAGUGGGGAAUAUUGCACAAUGGGCGGAAGCCUGAUGCAGCAACGCCGCGUGCGGGAUGACGGCCUUCGGGUUGUAAACCGCUUUCGCCUGUGACGAAGCGUGAGUGACGGUAAUGGGUAAAGAAGCACCGGCUAACUACGUG
This 468-nucleotide ribosomal RNA is filed under the name uncultured bacterium. RNAcentral's name for it is "partial 16S ribosomal RNA". It matches the Rfam family "Bacterial small subunit ribosomal RNA", at positions 28 to 507 of the family's 1533-position model. The record is from RNAcentral.